CAGAGAGACACUGCAGACGCCGCCAUGACCAGCAGCAUGUGAAGACUCCGUGUGCAGAAAAACAAGACAGCGUCAUAGCACUGGAGUUACGGAAGCCAACCUUGGAAAUGUCUUCACUGAUAUGGCUCCAUAUGUAUUUCAAAUACCUCAACUUCACACCAUCCCACAAUGAGUGAAGAAGACGCUGGAAUUCAGUCAAAUUCAUCCUUCUGAAAAACUGCAAAUGAGGAUACUGUUGAUUAAAGUCGACUGUCGUCUACAUGAAUCACCCAGAUUAAAAUCUAAAUUUCAAGAAAAGGGGCUGCGAAGGAUGCGGUUGGGCGUCCGACAAACUCUCAGCUGAACUAUAAAGCUGGGACUGCGCCUUCCCAAAUCUUUUCCUAGGCAAGAGGUCCCAACAGCCCGCGUGGGGCUCGUGUGUUUCUUAAGAGUGGCUAGAGAGUCCCCAUCCCCCAAGCCCAGACGCACCAGGAGCCGGGUGAACCAUUCUGGGCUGUCAAAACACAAGGCGCCGUGCUCAAUCCCAAUAACUCGAGUGAUGAUUAAUGAGCGGCUUGAUCAUUUAAUAUCUCAUGUGAUUAAAUUAUAAGGCGUGGGGGAGGGGAGCUCCGCACACUCCCGACCGCGGUGGGGGACACGGAUCAGCCAGCGGAGUACUGGCAGCGCUCGAGCCGUCCACUCCUGCUUCGAACAUCGCCUGGUGUGGCUCCGCCACCGUGGGUCGGCGCCUUCUCAAGGUUAUCUGCUGACUCAAUGAUGCCGAGAUACUAAGGAUUCCUAAAGUUUCGAAAGGAGAGUUAGUUUUAUUCUCUUAUCCCCAAGAUCACUUCAGUUUGAUGAUGUUUGAGAUCUACAGUUUGAGAUCUGCAGAACAGCCGUCCAAAUCGGUGGUGCAUUCCGCGGCAUUGUUCCGCAGGACUGGCAGAAGAAAAUAGAGCCAAAUCAAUGUUCUGGAAGAUCACAGGUUGCUGCUGCUGAGGAAUGGAGAACUGAGAAUGAGUUACACGUGGUUUUGCUGUGCUCCCCACCAGGAUGUGCUGCCUCAGGCUCAAAAGCAGCAGAAGCACUUGAUGACAGCCUGAGAUCUCUAAACCCAUGAGCCAGACCAGUUUCUGCUGGUGUGCACUUUAUGAAAAACGGAAAAUACCAGCAUCCUUGCUUUGUAAGGUGCUUCUUCCUGGUUAUCUGAGCAGGUCAAAUUCCUCCAGAUUCACUGACUGGCUGUAGAGUCUCAAACCAGAAACCAACGGCAUGCUGAUGGUACCUGUACUCAGCCUUGGAUUCAAAGUGUGCACCGGAAUUCACAUUGCCUGCCAGGUCAACCUCAGCAGAUCAGAAGCCAGGCUGGACCCAGAGCACCUGCGGAGUGACAUGGUCAACUGGCCACAAGAUGGCUUGAUCUACAACCAUCGCAGGCUUCUGCCUGGCUCUGGGAGGGUGGCACAUGGCAGAAAUCCUGCCUUUGCUGCUAAAGGACUAGCAAGGAACCUGGGAAAGGCCUGGAAGCCAAGGCAGGCUGGGCAGAUGCCGACUCUGCAGCUAGCAACCACCCUCGCAGAAAGCAGGCAGUGAGCUCGAAACUGCAGCCUGUGACAGACAGCUCCUUAUUUGCAACGGAGCAAAUGAGCAAGGGCAGAUUGCGCAGUACUUGGAGACAAGCGCAUCCAGGCAUCCAGGCGAGAGGAGGACGUGCGUGCGGUGCGCUUGCAGGGCCAGCAUCCUUGAUCAGAAGCCUUGCCAGCUUUGACCAGCACCCGCGGGCUGCAUCGGAAGCAUCUGGAGACAUAUUUGAUGGAACACCCCAUAAUUAGACCGGCUGGCUUAAUUAGGAGAAGUUUGUGGGUAGAGGGUUGCUGAGGGGCUGUGCUGGGAUCUGAAGGUUUACUGCCUCCUCCCAGGAGGCCUGGGACACAAAGCUCUACCCGCUGAGUGUGCAUGUGUUGGUGUCUGAAGAUCCAAGACAGCUCUGUAGCAUCUGUGAACCCAAGGCAGGGGACCAGGGGACCGGCCCCUGCAACAAAAACAACAGCCUGUCACAUUCAUUCCCCCACCCCUUAGAUAUAACAAGACAAACAGGAGGAACACUCAGAUGCUUAGAUCACUGUGUGCAAACCACUCUGGAAGGUAUGUUUUGAAACUGGCUUCCAGAGGCUGGCAGCAGGAGGAUCUGGACCGUGGUGUUCAUCUUAUUUUUGGGAAUCCCUCCCGUAGCAGAAAAGUGCACCAUCCUAAGGGCUCCUUAGGAACCAAGGCCUUAAUUGCCCAGCCCUACCAGUCAAAGCUUUCCAACCAUCUUAGAAACACCAGACACUGGCCACGGUGUCAGCUCCCAGCAACGCAGAUAGAGCCGGGCUAGUGGUACAAUGCACAUCUGGGAGACAUCUGUGCAUAACUGUAAAGCAAAUGCAGACCAAGCCGUUACAAGCCUCAGGACUCUAGGUGCUGUGGUUUGAACAUGCACAGGAGGAUGAGGGAAGAACAGGAUGGAACCCUUCCAUGGUAGGGAAAUGCAGUGGCCAUAAGAGAGACCACAGUUAUCAGUGUAUUCCAAACUCCAUAUUCACUGACUCUGUUCACAUGCCUAGAAGCGGCUCUUUUUCUGCUCACACCAGGAAAGAGUAAGGAAGAGAGAAAAGGAUGUGUGUGUGUGUGUGUGUGUGUGUGAUGGGUGCCUGUGUGUAGGGUUUAUUUUCCCCUCAAGUCAGCAAUUUUUGCUUUAUGGGAUAUGAAUGCUAUUUGUUGCUGGCAUGCUAUUAGUAAACAGAAACAGACAUCAAUAAUCUGUUCCCACUUUACCAAAUUAAAAUGAUUUCCCUGCUUUAUAGAGAUGAGGUGAUUUAUACAUCAGGCCAUUCAGGAUAUGAAAAAUGAGAUGUGUUCCCUAAAUAUCUCACUUGAUAGAAACAUUUGAUGAAACACACUUCAAGCCACUCAUGGUAUCAAUUUUAAACUAAGCCAACCAGGUAGUCUGCAUGGAAACAGGCCAUGCGGACAGAGGACCUAGCUGUUGAAUUUUUAAUGUGCUGUUGAAAAACAUUAAUGGGCUCCAUUGUGAAAUCCUAAAAAUGGGUUUCAAAUGUAUUUGAACAGAAUUCUUCACAAAAUGAUGAAAUCUACAUUCCAGCUACUUACAACUCAGUCCUUUGUUUUUUUUUUUUUUAAUUUCCUUUUUUUUUUUAUUAUAGAUGUGCCUAUGAUGUGUGUGUGUGUGUGAUAUGUGUGUGUGAGUGCUAGCUAGUGUGUUCAUGCCAGGUUCCGAAUGUGGAGGUCAGAAGACAGCUUUUGGGAGUCGAUUCGAGGUUUGAACUCAGGUUAUGAGGCCUGUGCUGCAAGCGCCUUUACUUGCUGAGCCAUCUAGUCAGCCCUUAAUCCUUUUUACAAUCUCAGUUUGUGAGUUAAAUAAUCAGUGUUUCAGAGAACUUUGCCUUUAGCAACUAAAAAGAGGAAGGGUGGAGAAAGCGUGGGGGAAAUGCUGGAAAUACCGACAGUGUUUCUGGGCAUCCAAGAGGACCGCUGAAGGGUAAAAAAUUUCUCUUAGGAAAGAGAAGACACCAGCAAAGCCAAGCUCCAGGUAAACUCAGCUCCUAGUGUUUUGCCUCCCAGUCGGCCAUGACAGGCGCAGGAUGCCUUACUCUUGUGUGUGGGUACCUCAGAGUACAGGCCUCACUGAAAGAAAGACAUUUUUUCAUCCACUCAAGGGAGGCUGAUGUGCUUGCUUGUGUGAUGUGGAAUCAAGGAAUGCAUUAAAAAUGUAAUUAUUUUGACACAUUCCUUUAAAAAGGUUUUUUAUCCUUAAUGCAAAGUGGUUUAGACUGCCAUUGUGAACAAGAAGCCACCGUCCUUGGUCCCUAAACUGUGAGCACCUUGAAGACGCGACACCAGACACAAUCAGCCGUCACCAGGAAUUUGAAGACAUAUUGUGGGGAGGGAUCAUUUCCGAGCUGGGAGAAGCUGAGAUCUUUUCUUCCUACUCCUCCCAGAAUUCUCUCUGCAUCCUCACUUUAUUCCAUCUUACAAGCCAAGGCUCAUUUUUCCUCAUAAAAACAGUUUGGAAGGUGACUAAUCCACUGUGCUUUUCCCCUAAAAACUUACUGAUUCUGCAACACCGUAGUGAGAAAUGCCACAGACACCAUUCCUCAGAAACAAAUUCUGGAGGAGAGUAUAACACUGGCAUCAUCACCCCGCUUCCAGACCACUGAGAGCUGUGAUGGGUACCUAAGGAUCAUGGGUGAAGUUUCUCAUUCAGGGGAGAAGUUUGUCUGUUUCUGUCCCAUCCCAUUUUGCCUUGGUUUGAUGCUAAGUGAUGGAACCCCUUAACACCUGCCCCCCAAUCUCUUCUCUUUCUACCCACCCCAUAGUCAUAGAGGGGGCUCAGAUGGUCUGCGGCAAAAUGCCAUUUGAAUCACUGAUGAGUAAUUUACAUGCACAGCAGGUGGGAGUGAGUUAGUACAUAAAGGUCCUUUGAAGAGGGAAACAAAAUGUUGCUGCCUUUCUUAGAGAACGUUGACCUUGGCAACAGUCUGUGAGGAAGCCUUUCCAGAGGAAAGGUAAUGCUUUGCAAGUGUCCAGGGAGUCUCAUGGCACACGUCGAGGGCCUUGCAGGCUAGAGCUGGUUUUCAAACACACAUUUGUUCAGUCACUACCCAAAAGGUGAAGGGCUCCGACUCUAUCUGAGCUAACAGCUGUAGCCAGAGCCUAGGACGAAAGAAUUCUAGCUUCACUGGGUUUUCUCAUCCUAAUAACUGCCUUUCCUUACUGUGUCCACUCUUAUCUCCAGGCCUUCUAAUAAAGUUAUUUGAAAUUGAAGACAAGCUUAAAACUCCAGCCACCCUAAAGAAGCACACCAAUUUCCUUUCAGGGUAACAAUUCUAUCUGGAACAAAAGUGCUUGUAGGUGUAUAUGUAUCUGGAUUAAGCAAGGCUGUCAGCAUUUAGUAUAAAUGGAAAUGUCUUCUCUUUUCAGGAUGUAGGCAUAAGAAUUGGCUUUUGAAAACAGUCAAAUUCAUAUUUCUAAUAGGAAAAAAAAAAGCAGAGAAAGAACUAAAGAUGCACUUAGCUUUUUAUUCAAGACCAAGCAUGUUGUUCCCCUAGUCUGGUUAAUUUUGGAUGCUGACAUCAUGCAUGCAUUUUAAAUUAUUAGGCAGAUAAUCACUUCCUUAAAAUAAUUUCCAUGCUCAGCUACAAUAAAAUAGAUUUCUUUCAAAGACCCCUUAGUAAAAUGUGCUCAGUGUUACUUUCUGUAUCACGCAGGUCAAUUUAAUUCAGCAUGGCUCUCUCUACCCAGCUAAACAAUUGCUUUUCAGUCUCUGGAGAGCGUGGUGAAUGCAGCCAAGAAUA
Non-coding RNA from Peromyscus maniculatus bairdii (prairie deer mouse), 5336 nucleotides. The record is from RefSeq and is a predicted model, not a curated record. Lineage: Eukaryota; Metazoa; Chordata; Mammalia; Rodentia; Cricetidae.